This 444-nucleotide ribosomal RNA is filed under the name uncultured bacterium. RNAcentral's name for it is "bacterial SSU rRNA". It matches the Rfam family "Bacterial small subunit ribosomal RNA", at positions 331 to 792 of the family's 1533-position model. The record is from RNAcentral.
CCAGACUCCUACGGGAGGCAGCAGUGGGGAAUAUUGCACAAUGGGGGGAACCCUGAUGCAGCAACGCCGCGUGGGUGAAGAAGUACUUCGGUAUGUAAAGCCCUGUCAGCAGGGAAGAAAAUGACGGUACCUGACCAAGAAGCCCCGGCUAACUACGUGCCAGCAGCCGCGGUAAUACGUAGGGGGCAAGCGUUAUCCGGAUUUACUGGGUGUAAAGGGAGCGUAGACGGCAAGGCAAGUCUGGAGUGAAAGCCCGUGGCUCAACCACGGGACUGCUCUUGGAACUGCGUGGCUGGAGUGCAGGAGGGGCAGGCGGAAUUCCUGGUGUAGCGGUGAAAUGCGUAGAUAUCAGGAGGAACACCAGUGGCGAAGGCGGCUUGCUGGACGAUGACUGACGUUGAGGCUCGAAAGCGUGGGGAGCAAACAGGAUUAGAUACCCUUGUA